Molecule: unclassified non-coding RNA, 1345 nt
Filed under: Hevea brasiliensis (rubber tree)
Lineage: Eukaryota; Viridiplantae; Streptophyta; Magnoliopsida; Malpighiales; Euphorbiaceae
Source: RNAcentral
AGUUCUCACCCAUGAGAUAAGGCUGUUUACAUGAGGUAGAUAUGUACCAGAUAAUGGGAAGCCAUGCUUAUCCAUCUCAACCUUUCUCAUAACUUGGAAUCCGAAGUCAUAAGCAUAAAAUGAACCAUCUUCAUCCCUCUUGAAUAUCAAAUCUCCACUGAUUCUCAAACUGAAAAUGGGAACCAUGUCAAUGACGCUACCUGUAGAGAUGCUAUACCGCUUCAUCCAAACUCCACCAUUUAAACUCUUCAAAUUCCAAAUAUCUAUGUCUAGUUCGUGAUGGGUGACAAAACAUAGGAAACCAGCCAUCUCAAUAAUCCUGUCAUAAGUUCUGCCACUCUUGGGGAGUGGUACGGUAUGAAACUUCUCAGUGCCAACUUCCAUGGAUACUAUGUAAUCGUUAUGAUCAAUUUGAGGAAGCCAAUGCAGAGCUCCAAUUGCGGAAACUGGCAUGUACCCAAACCAACCAAAAAGUCCAAAAGAAGGUCCAUUCACUUCCCUCCACAUUCUUGUCCCAAGGUUUAAUAUCUCACAACUGACAUAUCCCAACUCAUCCCGAAACAAGUGUACCACUUUAUAUUCUCCAGUAGCAUCAUUUAGUGCAAAGCCAUACGAUUCAUCCUGAGGAGGAUAUAUAGUACCUAGAGGAAGUGCAAUAAGCUUCCUUGUUACAGGAUUCAUCACUAUCAGUCCCCCUUUCCUCAGUUUGUUAUCAAGCAAAAUUAGACCAUUGCAUGUUGUAGCUCUAAUAUGGCCCAGGCAGCUCAGAUUAUACUCUCGUAUCUUGCUUUUUCCCUCUUUAAAUUCCAUAAACUGGAUGGAAAAUUUUGGUGCCCCACUGAAGUUUGGUUGCCCAAAAAUGGGGACAGGUUCCGAUUGAAGAAAACUUGUUUCAACACAGAAGUUAUUUGGUUGCUCUGGUGGCAUUGAUGUGACAGAAUAAGGGUAUAAUCUUUCUCUUGGAACUGAUUUUUGAAAUAUCAACACAGAUUCAGAGCGACAAAGAUGGGCAUCAAUAAAUGUGGGGCUGUUAAUUAUACUGUACCAAGGCUUGCAAACAAACCUUGAACUUUGAAGUGACUCUAGAGGAAGCUGGAUAAGGAUAUUUGAGAUGCAAUCUUUAUGAAGAUAAGGUACAUGCUGCUUCUUUUGCUCAUCUUCCACCUUCUUGAACAGGGCUCUCUCUUCUACAGAUUUCAACAACCCUACAUUCUUGUUUCCCACGGAUUUGGCCAUUAUAACUUAUUAAUCCUCACUGAUCACUGUUGAUAAAGCUAUUGAUGAGAGCUCCAAUGAGAGAAGAGUUAGCAACCCUUUCGUGAAGGGAAAGAAAAAAAUAGAAGGG